GCGGGCGUAGUUCACCGGCUAGAACGUCUCCUUGCCAAGGAGAAGGUAGUGGGUUCGACUCCCAUCGCCCGCU
This 73-nucleotide transfer RNA is filed under the name Patescibacteria group bacterium. RNAcentral's name for it is "tRNA-Gly". It matches the Rfam family "tRNA". Rfam says of the family: Transfer RNA (tRNA) molecules are approximately 80 nucleotides in length. Their secondary structure includes four short double-helical elements and three loops (D, anti-codon, and T loops). Further hydrogen bonds mediate the characteristic L-shaped molecular structure. tRNAs have two regions of fundamental functional importance: the anti-codon, which is responsible for specific mRNA codon recognition, and the 3' end, to which the tRNAs corresponding amino acid is attached (by aminoacyl-tRNA synthetases). tRNAs cope with the degeneracy of the genetic code in two manners: having more than one tRNA (with a specific anti-codon) for a particular amino acid; and 'wobble' base-pairing, i.e. permitting non-standard base-pairing at the 3rd anti-codon position. The record is from RNAcentral.